Cuculus canorus (common cuckoo) is the source of this 2202-nucleotide long non-coding RNA. RefSeq lists it as uncharacterized. The transcript is spliced from 6 exons. NCBI's taxonomy places the organism in Eukaryota, Metazoa, Chordata, Aves, Cuculiformes, Cuculidae. The record is from RefSeq and is a predicted model, not a curated record.
AUAUGUAACAUAUAACAUAUACUAGAUUUACUUAUACACGUGUGAGUAUAUCUAUAUACACAUAUAUAUAUUUGUUCAUUUUAAAUUAUAUAUACAACUACAUACAAAAAACCACAGUGACUGCUAAGAGACCUUAAAUAAAUAAGGCAAAAGAGAGGCCAGCGUUAUAAGGAAAUGUCUCGUAUUUGGAGAAACGGGCUGAGCUCAGAGGUGAGAGGAGCAGCCAGGGCUGUAGCAGUCUAGUUCAGAGGGGUCGACCAAAGGGAAGCCUAAGCAAUUCCAACAACCUUUUAGGCUAGACUCCUCUAAUGAUGGUCCCACUCCUCUGUUAUCACUUGAGAAGGAAGAAAAGACGAAAAAAGCUGAAGCAUAGAGAGAAGCAAGCCUCGUUCAAAGGCACACCUGCUCUCCCUGGUGUCGUGGGGCAGUGCAUCCCCGGGGCCAUGCACACCCUCUCCAGGGCUGCUUCAGAAACAACUCCACCAUUAGAGCUAUUUACUACAUCUGCUUCUUUUGCCCUUUGCUUUACUGUCUCUGAGUUUUGCCACCAGAAAGAGCUGUCUGCUGCAUUCGGUACAGUACAUUUUUUUUUAUAGCACCAGCCCUACUUUACAUUAUGCUUGUUGGAUCUUUCUGAAACCUAAGUGUUAGAAUAUCCUAAUCUUGCUCUACAUUUUAUAGCUGAAAGAUAAACCUGUUGUUUAAUGAAAUCCACAACACUACAGGAAUAGUAACCAUGGUGUUUCUUCAUUUCAAAGAACGGAUGAAAUCUAACAUCUGGUGUAACUGUACAAACCUGACCUUAGGUCACAGUCUUCAAGACUCUUAGCACUCCAAGACUCUUCUAAACCUAUGAUAACUUAAAUUUAUUUUCCUCUGGGCACCGUGAAACCAGGCUCAUUCAGACUUGACUCUUUGGACAGAGAUACUGACCGGGAUUUCUGGACACACCAAGAGCGAAUGGGAAAUGCUUUCUUUCCUAAUCCAUACACAAGGUGCUGGUCCCUUUGGCCAGAGGAGGAAACGAAGGCAUAAGGAAGCACCAGAAAUCUGCAACUGAAGACAUAAGGUUCAGACUAGGAAGUGGAACCAGAGGCAUCCGUGGUCAGCAAUGAAAGCACAGGAAUGGGUUGGCUGGAAGACAGAAAUCCACAGCGUCUUCUCCCAGCACCACAAGCUGAGGAUAACAGGAGAAACUCGGGGGAGCAGUCACUCUUGUGGGAACCAGAAGCCUCCCAGAGCAGCAGAGGGCUGGCAAUCAGAUUCUGUGCCUUAAGGAUGCAGAAGACCCACUGAGCUGUGAACGGAAGCACCUUGGUAGGACAGGUCUGCCAACACAGAAGGCCUGUGAAUCCGCUCGAAAGGACAGCCAGUGGUUGCUCUUCCAGCAGGCUACAGAUAAAACCCUUUGGCCCAAAGUCUUCAUUGUGCUAAAGGGGCCAUGCCGCAUACCCACCUCUAAAGGCCCAGAACACCUGGUUUCAGGCACAACAGGAAGAUCAGAACAUACCUUAUCAUAAAUAUGCAUAUGUGACACAAGAGCCUGCUGCCUUCUUGGAGAGAUGCCAUAAUUGACGGAACAAAGUACAACAAAACUUCACAAUCACUGGUGGAUCAGAAGAACAGAGCUCAUUGAGGUAUGAGUCAUUUCCAUCAAAAGAGGAGGAUGCCUUGAUCUGUGUGUGAGUGAGCACUGGAACAGCAGCUGUUGGAGCAAAUACAAACAUUCAUGCCAAGGAUUGCAAGGAUUGGAGUUUAUCUAAUAUGUAAACAACCACCUGCCGCAAAUGAAAAAUUACAUCCACAACCACCUGAAUAAAAUAACCAUGAGGGGGGAAAUGAAGAGACAGAUUUAUUAUUGAUUUGUUAGAACUUCGGAAUCAAACAUCUCUUUUUGCAACAGAACAAUAGGAUACACAAGGAAAUAGUACUCCUUGUCCCAGACCUGCUCAGCAGCAUUUCUUUUGCCCUAGUGUUUUGGUUUUUUUUUUUCUUUGCUAAGUCUGGUGGAGAUGAAAACACCAGCCCAAAGAUGAUAAUUAAAAGCUAAAUGAAACUACAUACAGCUGUGCUGCUACAUGGCUAAUGAACAUGCAAAUAUAUACAUAUGACAAGGACAUAAUGCAGACUGGCUGCCUUAAGUAGUUAGUGCAGAUUUCCAAGAGCUAGAAAUGCUAUUGAUUUUAACUGUGCUAAACUUCC